RNAcentral lists this ribosomal RNA (885 nucleotides) under uncultured beta proteobacterium. RNAcentral describes it as "bacterial SSU rRNA". It matches the Rfam family "Bacterial small subunit ribosomal RNA", at positions 509 to 1397 of the family's 1533-position model. The record is from RNAcentral. Lineage: Bacteria; Pseudomonadati; Pseudomonadota; Betaproteobacteria.
CAGCAGCCGCGGUAAUACGUAGGGUGCGAGCGUUAAUCGGAAUUACUGGGCGUAAAGCGUGCGCAGGCGGAUUGUUAAGCAAGACGUGAAAUCCCCGGGCUUAACCUGGGAAUGGCGUUUUGAACUGGCAGUCUAGAGUGUGUCAGAGGGGGGUAGAAUUCCACGUGUAGCAGUGAAAUGCGUAGAGAUGUGGAGGAAUACCGAUGGCGAAGGCAGCCCCCUGGGAUAACACUGACGCUCAUGUACGAAAGCGUGGGUAGCAAACAGGAUUAGAUACCCUGGUAGUCCACGCCCUAAACGAUGUCAACUGGUUGUUGGGGGAGUGAAAUCCCUUAGUAACGAAGCUAACGCGUGAAGUUGACCGCCUGGGGAGUACGGUCGCAAGAUUAAAACUCAAAGGAAUUGACGGGGACCCGCACAAGCGGUGGAUGAUGUGGAUUAAUUCGAUGCAACGCGAAAAACCUUACCUACCCUUGACAUGUCCAGAAUCCUGCAGAGAUGCGGGAGUGCCCGAAAGGGAAUUGGAACACAGGUGCUGCAUGGCUGUCGUCAGCUCGUGUCGUGAGAUGUUGGGUUAAGUCCCGCAACGAGCGCAACCCUUAUCAUUAGUUGCUACGCAAGGGCACUCUAAUGAGACUGCCGGUGACAAACCGGAGGAAGGUGGGGAUGACGUCAAGUCCUCAUGGCCCUUAUGGGUAGGGCUUCACACGUCAUACAAUGGUCGGUACAGAGGGUUGCCAAGCCGCGAGGUGGAGCCAAUCCCAGAAAGCCGAUCGUAGUCCGGAUUGUUCUCUGCAACUCGAGAGCAUGAAGUCGGAAUCGCUAGUAAUCGCGGAUCAGCAUGUCGCGGUGAAUACGUUCCCGGGUCUUGUACACACCGCCCGU